CCCGGAGUGAACCAUGGUGGGGUGUUAUUUACACCGGGGUAAUUAACCAAUCAGAUUGCAGUAUUUUUGCUGCAUAAGAAAUAAUAGCAGUUAUGAGCUAGUUCCAAGUAAAUACCAACUACUAAGUAAAUCUUUUUCACAACGACUGAAGUACCAGUCUUAGUCUGAGAAAUGUGUGACAUAAGCACAAUUAAAUAAAUACAUAAAAGACACUUCUAAUGAACGC
This 226-nucleotide long non-coding RNA is filed under the name Mytilus galloprovincialis (Mediterranean mussel). Lineage: Eukaryota; Metazoa; Mollusca; Bivalvia; Mytilida; Mytilidae. The record is from RNAcentral.